GACGAUCGAUACCACAACAACAGGGUAAACGAAAGACAACUCACAGGGGAUAAAUUGCAAGCAUCCGACAAUUAUCCAAGAAACAAAGAAUAUUCGAUUCCAUAAAGGAAUAACGAACCUUACUCGACUAGGGAAACGCAACAGGCUUCGACUGAAGAGUGCAUGAGAUAUAUUAUCCAUUACCGUCAGAACGUGGAUAACAUACUCGCAUGGAAGAUUAUCCACAACCGGUUACUGGGUUAAUAAAG
Molecule: long non-coding RNA, 248 nt
Filed under: Lathyrus oleraceus (garden pea)
Lineage: Eukaryota; Viridiplantae; Streptophyta; Magnoliopsida; Fabales; Fabaceae
Description: Pisum sativum (pea) long non-coding RNA (PSAT_LNC021454)
Source: RNAcentral